UCACUCUGGUUUCUCUUCAGAUCGUAUAAAUCUUUCGCCUUUUACUAAAGAUUUCCGUGGAGAGGAACACAGAUGAGUUUCUAACCAAUUUUUUGUUGCCCCACUCUGUGGGGCU
Molecule: small nuclear RNA, 115 nt
Filed under: Trichoplax adhaerens
Lineage: Eukaryota; Metazoa; Placozoa; Uniplacotomia; Trichoplacea; Trichoplacidae
Also listed under: 1 other name
Description: U5 spliceosomal RNA
Rfam family: U5 spliceosomal RNA
About the family: U5 RNA is a component of both types of known spliceosome. The precise function of this molecule is unknown, though it is known that the 5' loop is required for splice site selection and p220 binding, and that both the 3' stem-loop and the Sm site are important for Sm protein binding and cap methylation.
Source: Rfam by way of RNAcentral